CUUGUCUGGUGCAGACCAGCUGUAGAGGAGUUGGUGGAGGAGACGGGGGAAAGACAGCGGGAUGGAAAGGGAGGAGUGGAAGACACUGUUUGAGCCCACAGCAGCCGGGUGGAAUUUUUCACAUACGCGGCUGGAAUUUCAGGAAUGCAGGGAUAGUCCGAAUCUGACUGGGAGCGAGAGAGAUAAUGGGACGGGGGGGGCAGAAAAGGCAGGAAAGCCCCAAGAAGAAGAAGAGGAAGAGGAAUAGAAUGGGAAAGGGUACCACAGCAAAAGAGUCCGGGUUUUAACACUGCCCGUCAUUGUGAACAUAAAGAUACAGACUCGCUGUUUGUGGAAGGAGAGGCGCGCAAUGGAACAAAUAACUUAUUCAGUUUGAGGUUGUGGCAGCCGUAGUGGACGUAGUGGGGUAGGCCUCUUUAUAAUAGUGAAGGGAUGAAUGAUGGGCUUAUUUUAGCUAAAGAUCCACAUUUUCUGCAACGUGGUUGAUCAGUGUCUCAACAACUUUUGGACGGAAUACCAAAAAUGUGUGGUUCACACAUUCAUUCCCCUGCUCAAGACUAUUUGUUUGUUCUUUGAUGACCUUUUAGCUUUUCAUCAGGUUUAACUUGACCUUUAGUUUGGUUUAUAAUGGAACAACUACUUUCCCCAUCCGCCUCAGGUUAGUGCCAUUCAGAAAAUAUUACCGCGCAAAAACACUAAACUGAGAUGGUGAACUUUGUACCUGCGACACAUCAGCAUGUUGACCGUGUGCAAGUUGAUAAACGCAUUCUGUAGUCUGAAUCUGAAGAAUCAUUGAACAGCAAAUAAAAACUCCUCUAACAUAUUUAUUUGUUUUAAUUCUUCUAGAUAUCUGUUUGAACUGGCACGCAUCCUCUCAGCACAAAAGAGCAUUCAGGUCGAAGUACAGCCUCACAAAGACGUCCUAUUGGCUGGUUUCCUUGUGGCCAAAGUGGCCAACGGAAUGUGUGAGCCUACGAGGGAAGGAGAAGGAGUCGCCAUUCAGGGCCUCUUUAAGUCCGGCUGUCCGUCACUUCCCGGCUUGUCUGGUUCGACGUCUCGCACUUGGCCCCCGAAUGGCUGACGCACAGCAGUUCUUCACUGGCAAGCUUUAUGUUCCCGUACACAUGCUAAAGCUGCCAGCUGAAGAACUGCUCUGGUCAGCCCUGCCCCGGAUGACUCAAGAAGAGGAAGCGGAUGGGGGGGGUUGCUGAGGAAAAGACGGAGGAGGGCGGUGUUCCUCACGCUGAGUCAGAACGUGACCGAUUUGAGCAAGCAAGGGUUGAUAAUCUUGUUUUAAACAAAUGUAAAGUGUAUUUUAUCGAGACUGUUUUUUUUUUUUUGUGGACAAAACGCCACACUAUGAACAACAAAACUCAAACAGCACUGAAAGCUCUCUUGUUCAAAAGUAAAGCACACACACACACACACACACACACACAGCACUCGAUAGAUCUAUACAAAAAUGUGUCCCAUUCAUGCCUUUUUAACUUCAAAGUCUGGUGAUCCCAUUAAGGGGAAGCAACAAAGAUCAGGGUGGUGAAGUGUUCUUAGAUACACAAUCACUUUUGAAAAGGAGGGUUUUUCUCACGUUAACAAGUCAGUAAGGUGACUUUUAGUUAAGGUUCAAUGAACAUAUUUUGAUUGUUGUUGGAUAGAUCUUUUUGAAACUAGCGGGUGAACGUUUUUCUCCAGCUGUAAAUUGCAUCAACGGCUGCUUCAAUGUUUUCCUUCACAAACGACCAGGCUUCUCAGGCUGAGGAAGGUUUCAAGAUAACUCAUUGGAUGUAAAACCGUCUUUUUAAGAGACCAAUAAGCCCCUCUCUUUAUUUAUUUGGCAACAGCAGCGGGGUCAUUGAUUAACUCUCUGAAUGUAAGAUGAAUUGGUUUAAUAAAGAAAUAAUUUUGUUUCAA
Molecule: long non-coding RNA, 1911 nt
Organism: Pungitius pungitius (ninespine stickleback)
Lineage: Eukaryota; Metazoa; Chordata; Actinopteri; Perciformes; Gasterosteidae
Exons: 2
Source: RefSeq, a predicted model, not a curated record